This 497-nucleotide ribosomal RNA is filed under the name uncultured bacterium. RNAcentral describes it as "bacterial SSU rRNA". It matches the Rfam family "Bacterial small subunit ribosomal RNA", at positions 30 to 524 of the family's 1533-position model. The record is from RNAcentral.
AUUGAACGCUGGCGGCAUGCUUUACACAUGCAAGUCGAACGGCAGCACAGCAGAGGUAACUCUGUGGGUGGCGAGUGGCGAACGGGUGAGUAAUACAUCGGAACGUACCCUGUUGUGGGGGAUAACUACGCGAAAGCGUAGCUAAUACCGCAUACGCCCUGAGGGGGAAAGCGGGGGAUCGUAAGACCUCGCGUUAAUGGAGCGGCCGAUGCCGGAUUAGCUAGUUGGUGAGGUAAAGGCUCACCAAGGCGACGAUCCGUAGCUGGUCUGAGAGGACGACCAGCCACACUGGAACUGAGACACGGUCCAGACUCCUACGGGAGGCAGCAGUGGGGAAUUUUGGACAAUGGGCGCAAGCCUGAUCCAGCCAUUCCGCGUGAGUGAAGAAGGCCUCGGUGUAAGCUCUUCGCAGAAGAAACUAUCUCUAAUACGAGGUGAGGUUGACGGUACCUUGAUAAGAAGACACCGGCUAACUACGUGCCAGCAGCCGCGGUAAU